GUCCAAAUAACCAUAAUAUUAUUGAAUUAGCGCUCUGCUUAAAAUGAUUGGAGAUCAGAGGCUCCCAAAGUGCGGUGUGCAGUUAACCUUUGCUCUGUGAGUCACAGGGACAACUGACAGAGGUCAGGCCAGAGGUUUCCCUAGCCCGAUAUCCUGCCCAAUAGCGGCCUGCAACAGAUGCGUAUGGAAGAGUAAAACCAGGAAAAAUAUAUUGUAGCAACUACACAGCAACACAGAAGUUUGCAGCUCCCACCUAUCAAGAACCAGUGGAGAUUUCUCUCUUCUUAAGAGCAUUUGAUGGAUUUCUCUUCCACGAAUUUUUACAGAUGCUGUCUGUUGGCAUGAAAACUUCCGGCAUCUGCAAGGUCCAGCGGCAGCAAACUACACAGCUUCAUUACAGAUCUCCCUCAGGUCACUUUAAGCCCGAUGCCUCAGACUUAAAACAGCUGGGACAAAGAAAAAAGGAUCCUGAACGUUUUUCUGCUCCACCCACGUCACAUGGGCCAGAACUGCCAUCCCAUGGUAGCAGCCUUGAUCCCAUGCUCUCCUGAGUCAGGCUUGAAGUGGCCACUAAGGGCUGAGAUGCCCUACCCAGAUGGCAUCAUGAAACAUGAAAACACAAACUGGUGGGAGAUGCAUUUGAGUCACAAACCUCCUUUUGUUUACAGCUUACUUGGAGGACGGGGCUUCUUUGGAGAGAAAAGCUGCAAGAAAUCUCAAGCCCCGAUCCCCCCAGCCUGAUGGGAAACUUCUAAUUCACCCAGUUCAACAUGCUGAAUUAUUAUUCGGCUACUAGACUCAGAACUAAGGCUGCUGCAGGUACGGUGAUCGCUGCUGCAGAGAAAAGGGAAGGACUGCAACCUUACAUUGCACUGCAGCCACUUGUCUAACCUACACUAUAAUCAAACUCCUUGUUCUCCAUUCCUGCCCCCAGAUUAAGAGAGAC
This 946-nucleotide long non-coding RNA is filed under the name Falco tinnunculus (common kestrel). RNAcentral's name for it is "lncRNA (ENSFTIG00000008125.1)". The record is from RNAcentral. Lineage: Eukaryota; Metazoa; Chordata; Aves; Falconiformes; Falconidae.